UACAGAGGGUGCGAGCGUUGUCCGGAAUCACUGGGCGUAAAGGGCGCGUAGGUGGUGGCUUAAGCGUGCGGUGAAAGCUCGGGCGUCACAUCGACGUCGGCCGUGCGAACUGGGCUCACUGGAGCAUAGUAGAGGCAGGUGGAAUUCCGGGUGUAGCGGUGGAAUGCGUAGAGAUCCGGAAGAACACCGGUGGCGAAGGCGGCCUGCUGGGCUAUGGGCUGACACUGAGGCGCGACAGCGUGGGGAGCAAACAGGG
This 256-nucleotide ribosomal RNA is filed under the name uncultured bacterium. Its description in RNAcentral is "partial 16S ribosomal RNA". It matches the Rfam family "Bacterial small subunit ribosomal RNA", at positions 524 to 777 of the family's 1533-position model. The record is from RNAcentral.